This 395-nucleotide ribosomal RNA is filed under the name uncultured bacterium. RNAcentral's name for it is "bacterial SSU rRNA". It matches the Rfam family "Bacterial small subunit ribosomal RNA", at positions 29 to 417 of the family's 1533-position model. The record is from RNAcentral.
AUUGAACGCUGGCGGCAUGCCUAACACAUGCAAGUCGAACGGCAGCACGGCAGUAGCAAUACUGUGGGUGGCGAGUGGCGGACGGGUGAGGAAUACGUCGGAAUCUGCCCAGUCGUGGGGGAUAACUAGCCGAAAGGUUAGCUAAUACCGCAUACGACCGAGAGGUGAAAAGCGGGGGACCGCAAGGCCUCGCGCGAUUGGAUGAGCCGACGUCGGAUUAGCUAGUUGGUGGGGUAAAGGCCCACCAAGGCGACGAUCCGUAGCUGGUCUGAGAGGAUGAUCAGCCACACUGGAACUGAGACAACGGUCCAGACUCCUACGGGAGGCAGCAGUGGGGAAUAUUGGACAAUGGGCGCAAGCCUGAUCCAGCAAUGCCGCGUGUGUGAAGAAGGCCU